AUUUAUAUAGUUUAAUAAAACAGUAUAUUUUCAAUAUACAGAUAAUAUUUUUAUAUUUGUAAAUU
Molecule: transfer RNA, 65 nt
Filed under: Cardiodactylus muiri
Lineage: Eukaryota; Metazoa; Arthropoda; Insecta; Orthoptera; Gryllidae
Description: tRNA-Glu
Source: RNAcentral